RNAcentral lists this ribosomal RNA (253 nucleotides) under uncultured bacterium. RNAcentral describes it as "partial 16S ribosomal RNA". It matches the Rfam family "Bacterial small subunit ribosomal RNA", at positions 524 to 776 of the family's 1533-position model. The record is from RNAcentral.
UACAGGGGGGGCAAGCGUUGUUCGGAAUUACUGGGCGUAAAGGGUCUGUAGGUGGCCAACUAAGUCAGACGUGAAAUCCCUCAGCUUAACUGGGGAACUGCGUCUGAUACUGGAUGGCUCGAGUGUGGGAGAGGAAUGCGGAAUUCCAGGUGUAGCGGUGAAAUGCGUAGAUAUCUGGAGGAGCACCGGUGGCGAAGGCGGCAUUCUGGACCAUAACUGACACUGAGAGACGAAAGCCAGGGGAGCAAACGGG